Molecule: unclassified non-coding RNA, 200 nt
Filed under: uncultured Caulobacteraceae bacterium
Lineage: Bacteria; Pseudomonadati; Pseudomonadota; Alphaproteobacteria; Caulobacterales; Caulobacteraceae
Description: contains 16S-23S intergenic spacer region
Source: RNAcentral
UCCGGCUUACCACCGGCAGUCCCAUUAGAGUGCCCAACUUAAUGAUGGCAACUAAUGGCGAGGGUUGCGCUCGUUGCGGGACUUAACCCAACAUCUCACGACACGAGCUGACGACAGCCAUGCAGCACCUGUGUCCCUGUCCCCGAAGGGAAAACUGGAUCUCUCCAGCGAUCAGGGCAUGUCAAAAGGUGGUGCAUGGC